This 260-nucleotide ribosomal RNA is filed under the name uncultured bacterium. Its description in RNAcentral is "partial 16S ribosomal RNA". It matches the Rfam family "Bacterial small subunit ribosomal RNA", at positions 1232 to 1500 of the family's 1533-position model. The record is from RNAcentral.
GGCAGGUACAGCGGGAAGCCACCUGGCGACAGGGAGCGGAACCCGAAAGCCUGUCUCAGUUCGGAUUGGAGUCUGCAACCCGACUCCAUGAAGCCGGAUUCGCUAGUAAUCGCGCAUCAGCCACGGCGCGGUGAAUACGUUCCCGGGCCUUGUACACAUCGCCCGUCAAGCCAUGGAAGCCGGGGGUGCCUGAAGUGCGCUGCCGCAAGGAGCGCCCUAGGGUAAAACCGGUGACUGGGGCUAAGUCGUAACAAGGUACC